UUAAUUCAAAUUUGUAUGGAGUUGGAACGUUUGCCUACGUUUGCCGCUAGGGGUGCUGUUCCAACUGGAUACAAAUUCGAGUUA
Molecule: non-coding RNA, 84 nt
Organism: Bombyx mori (domestic silkworm)
Lineage: Eukaryota; Metazoa; Arthropoda; Insecta; Lepidoptera; Bombycidae
Source: Rfam